This 711-nucleotide ribosomal RNA is filed under the name uncultured bacterium. Its description in RNAcentral is "bacterial SSU rRNA". It matches the Rfam family "Bacterial small subunit ribosomal RNA", at positions 126 to 852 of the family's 1533-position model. The record is from RNAcentral.
CUGCCUCGGAGUGGGGAAUAACACAACGAAAGCUGUGCUAAUACCGCAUGAUGCAGCUGGGUCGCAUGACUCUGGCUGCCAAAGAUUUAUCGCUCUGAGAUGGCCUCGCGUCUGAUUAGCUGGUUGGCGGGGUAACGGCCCACCAAGGCGACGAUCAGUAGCCGGACUGAGAGGUUGGCCGGCCACAUUGGGACUGAGACACGGCCCAGACUCCUACGGGAGGCAGCAGUGGGGAAUAUUGGGCAAUGGGCGCAAGCCUGACCCAGCAACGCCGCGUGAAGGAAGAAGGCCCUCGGGUUGUAAACUUCUUUUGUCAGGGACGAAGCAAGUGACGGUACCUGACGAAUAAGCCACGGCUAACUACGUGCCAGCAGCCGCGGUAAUACGUAGGUGGCAAGCGUUGUCCGGAAUUACUGGGUGUAAAGGGAGCGUAGGCGGGAAGACAAGUCGGGUGUCAAAUCUAUCGGCUCAACUGGUAGCAGCACUCGAAACUGCCUUUCUUGAGUGAAGUAGAGGUAAGCGGAAUUCCUAGUGUAGCGGUGAAAUGCGUAAAUAUUAGGAGGAACACCAGUGGCGAAGGCGGCUUACUGGGCUUUAACUGACGCUGAGGCUCGAAAGCAUGGGUAGCAAACAGGAUUAGAUACCCUGGUAGUCCAUGCUGUAAACGAUGAUUACUAGGUGUGGGGGGACUGACCCCUUCCGUGCCGGAGU